UUGGAAAAUGUAGAAAAUAGAAAUCAGAAUAUAAAGCGUUACGCACUACCUAUUCACUAAGGUUUAAUUGAAUUUCCAGGAACUAUUCAGUGUACCAUUUUUCGAUUCCUCGAAAGUGAAUGUGUUCAUAAUUUUGAGUGUCAGGUCGAAGUUCUCAGUGGCCUCAGAAAGAGGAGUCAUCAUAGUGCAUGCCAGAUGACAUGAUGUACCACCGAAUUCUACUUUUCUCGGCACUCUUCAUCUGCAAAGUAAAUGCAGAAUCUUUUCUAAUCAACCGUUUAGAUUUGACUCAAGAUGGUCGAGGUAUUCCAGUGAGGCAUUCAGUGGUAACUUCUAUCGACGCAGAGGCGGCGGGAGAUUCCGGGUCAGGGGACCGGUCUUCGGAGAGCGUGGCUCUAGCGUUGGUGACGAGGGCGCCACGCUCCAGCGCCUCCCGUUCCGUAACCCGAACGGAGAGCAGCGCCAGCAAAAGGCGAGAUUGGACCCAGAAUGCAGGUUUGGGUUUACUCAAACGUAUGUUUACGAGGAGAUCGAAACCAAAGGGUAUUCCGGAUUCGAACACGCAGAGUCCCGAGAGACGGAGGCGCCACUGUUGUCGUCGGUGUAGUCGGUGUGCCGCCGUAAGAGACCGCAGAGGCAACAACAGCAUGGCAACCAACCCCACAACCCACAGUCAACCAACUACAACCACCCUCAUUACAAUCCUUACGGCAAUCCUUACAACCCGCAUUCUACCCGGCCGACAUCGUUGCCGUUUCCAAGGCAUUCAUCAUCGCUAA
Molecule: long non-coding RNA, 779 nt
Filed under: Bemisia tabaci
Lineage: Eukaryota; Metazoa; Arthropoda; Insecta; Hemiptera; Aleyrodidae
Description: lncRNA ENSSSA1NGG010986
Source: RNAcentral